AUGCUGGAGGCUUUCCUUCACACUAGGCUGGAGAGUUGCCUUUAUGGGCAUCCUGAAGUCUUGGGCUUGAAUGGAAACCCAUCUCCCACUAGCAGAAGAUUGGAUGCACCUCAUCAUCACUUGUGCAUAUUUUUGCCCGCCACGCAAUCGCAGGAAAAUAGGGCCUUGCAGCAGCCACCUCAGAUGAAAGCACUUCCCAAAACCAAGAGAAACAAAAAAAGCUUCCUCGAAGUGGAUGGAGAUGCUGCACAAACUGCCUGAGCACCUCUGCCCUGCUCUGGGUUAUUGAACUGGCUUCUGCAAAGGCAAUUUCAAACAGCAAACAGCUAAGCAAGGGGAGCAAGACAUAACCUUUGCUUCUGCAGGACCUACCAGAAGCUGACAAUGUGGGUACGUGGGCAAUGGGAAAAGCAGUUUAUGUUUUAAGCUUCACGUGACCUCUGGAGCUUCUGGGCUUUGGAAGGUGAGAGUGAGACAAUCCUCACAAGCACUUGAUCCCUCUCGAAGUGAAGGGGCUUUCCUGGGUACACAGCUUUCCCCCUUCUGUCUCAGAAGUGUAUCUGGUUUUUUGGGGGUGGAAAAAAAAAAAAAAAAGAGGAUUGAUUCAAAUAAAAAUGUAUUUGUAUGAGAAAAAUUAUUUCCU
Molecule: long non-coding RNA, 643 nt
Filed under: Parus major (Great Tit)
Lineage: Eukaryota; Metazoa; Chordata; Aves; Passeriformes; Paridae
Description: lncRNA (ENSPMJG00000010577.1)
Source: RNAcentral